Molecule: ribosomal RNA, 460 nt
Filed under: uncultured bacterium
Lineage: Bacteria
Description: partial 16S ribosomal RNA
Rfam family: Bacterial small subunit ribosomal RNA
Source: RNAcentral
CCUACGGGAGGCUGCAGUGAGGAAUAUUGGUCAAUGGACGAGAGUCUGAACCAGCCAAGUAGCGUGAAGGAUGACUGCCCUAUGGGUUGUAAACUUCUUUUAUAAAGGAAUAAAACGAGGCACGUGUGCCUUGUUGCAUGUACUUUAUGAAUAAGGAUCGGCUAACUCCGUGCCAGCAGCCGCGGUAAUACGGAGGAUCCGAGCGUUAUCCGGAUUUAUUGGGUUUAAAGGGAGCGUAGAUGGGUUGUUAAGUCAGUUGUGAAAGUUUGCGGCUCAACCGUAAAAUUGCAAUUGAUACUGGCAGUCUUGAGUACAGUUGAGGUAAGCGGAAUUCGUGGUGUAGCGGUGAAAUGCUUAGAUAUCACGAAGAACCCCGAUUGCGAAGGCAGCUUACUAAACUGUGACUGACAUUGAUGCUCGAAAGUGUGGGUAUCAAACAGGAUUAGAUACCCCGGUAGUC